UCUGCUCUAUUAAACAAUCGAGGGUGAAUUUAGACAUAGACUUAUUAGUAGAAGAAGCUCUCUCAACUAUUUGAAAUACACAAUUUAGACUACAUUAGAAAUUAUAGAAAAUAUAGUCCUUUAAUAUCUUUUUAAAUUGGUCGAGCCUUUAGCGUUGUUUUAUAUCGGCUGGUAUUAUAUAUUUUAACUCCUUCAUAAAACAUACUCUAUCACGCACUCCUAUUUCUGCGAAAUUGUAUUACAAUGUUUCUGGUAUGUCGUAUGUGUUUUCUGUUUCCUUUUCCCACUAUUUCUAUUCUUUUUCUUAAUUGUUCAGUUAACAAAUUUCUCAAGAUCAUGAAAAUACAUAGACACAUGUUGUAAUAUACUCUCAUUUCCCGAUUUUGCAUUACUUGCAAUUUAUUCAGCUGUGUCUCUCUCAUAUCCAUUAACAAUGUUACAAUAUUCUGUGCUAUGAUCGCUUUAUACGUGAUACAUUUAGUAGUUGCCAAUAUAUAAUUUCCUGUUCCAUUCAAAAAACUAGUUUUCUUACCUAUCUUUUUUAACAUACAAUCGCAAUAACCUUUAAAUCUAAGCUUACCAUCUAUUCCUAAGUAUUUCAUUAUCUCUACACGUUAUAUCUCGGUUUCAUCAAAGCAUUUCAAUAUAAUAUUUCCAUCCAGCUCUUUUCUUAUACUCCUAUAAUAUAUUCCGUCUUUUCUGCAUUCAUUCUCAAUUUAUAUAUAUUCUUCCAUUCUUCUACUGUAUUAAAUGCUUUAUUCAUUUCUGUCUCUAACUGUAUACUACUUUUUCCAAUAACAUAAAUUAAUGUAUUAUCCGUAAACAUUUUUAUACUAUAUCAUUCAGAGAAUAUUUCAAUGAAUGACAAGAGUCCCGAUACAAAUCCUUGGGGCACUCCAUAUUCUAUGUUAAUUAAUUCAGACCAUUUAUCGUUGAAACCAAUCUGCUGCGUUCUAUUAUUUAAAUCAUUCUAAAACAAUACCUCUAAAAUUAUAUUGAUAUAAAUUUUCUAUUAAUCUCUUUCUAUCUACUAUUUCAAACAUUCACUUAAGAUUCAUAGAAAUAACAUCCAUAAUUGUUCUCUAGCUAACUAUUAAUUUCCAUUCAUCAACAACAGUUUGAAUCCAACCAUUUCACACGAAUAUUGUUUUCUUACAUCUAAUCAAUGUUCCGUUAUAAUACCAUUAAAUUCAAAAUACAUUUAUAUUUGCUUCUUCAUCACUAAUUCUAACACUUUCUCAUAUAUUGGUAAUCGAUCUAUAAUAAUUUGCUUUUUAGCUUUUUCUAUUUGUGGAAUCGGUCAGUCUUCUGAAAUGAUAUUUGACUAAAAAAAAUAAGAAUUCCGAUGAUGAAAAGAAAACUCUCUUCUACGGAAAUGCAAUAUAUUCUAAUAAAUGAAAAGUAAAUUAAUAUUGGUACACUAGGAUGUAAUCGUUAUUCGACUGGUAGACGCUGACUACCUUUUUAGGACUUCUUUUCUUUUGUCCGAUCUUUGUCUUGACGUGAAACACUCGAUCGCUAUUCGGCUAUUUACAUUAUUGGGCUGCUGCCUUACAUUCCCCUUGCAUACGUUAUCACACUCGCAUCACACUCUCUAUUUCAUAUUUAUAUAAAUAUUUCAUAUUUACCAGUUCAACUCAGCGAUUCAUUUGCUCAAUUAUAAACUUUAUGAAAAUUGUGGCAACUCGGAUGAAAAAUGUUCUACAAUGUAUGCAAUUAAUCAGCUGGGAUUUUAUUUCCUUUCUACACUGCCUACAUAUCUGUAUCCCAAACCGCGAGAUAUCCAUUUCUCAUUGUUAAAUUUUUCCUUAUCAACUAUUAAUUCGUAUCACGUUAAACGUCAUCAACAACAGCAGUGUUGCUCGAUGAGUCAGUAAGAGAAUUCUUUAAAUUUUCGUCAUCGCUUCGAUUUUGUAGGAUUUGAUAAAAAGCCUAUUGCAGGAUGCCUAGUUGGUUUUGCAGGAUGCUAGACUGGCUAAUAGAAUGUUAAAUGACUGGAAUUCGACUGUGAUGUUGUCUUCGAUAAAAAAAAGUUAGGGAAGAAAUGGACUUGAUGGAAGAAGAAGCGAUGACUUCGAUAAUAGGAGACUCUGGUGGUUUUAGCCAUUUCAAACAUCCAUUGGAAUAUGAUGCUUCAUUCAAUAGAACUCUAGGUGGGAAUGGAUGACUGAUGCCAAGAAUCUGGUAUGGGAUGCUAUAGAUCUGUCCCAAAUAAUAUGAGUAGGGGAGGAUACUCCCAGGACAACCAGGGAGGUCAACAUAUGAGUACUGAGGCGGUUACAAAAUAUCAACUAUAUGGGCGGAUUCAAACUGUUUUGGAGACGUUAAAGUUAUAUUCCACCCAGGCAGUGGAUACUAUGGUAGAUAGCGGAGAGUAUUUGGUAGAUGAAAUCAAGAAUACCAGCUUUUAACUUAAAAGACAAGCUAGCGGUAGAAGCUUCUUGUUUAGAUCUAUUUUCUAAAUUGAAGAAGAGCGAUAAGAUACUGCAUGGCUAUGACCAAUGAAGGAGUUCGCAUUAAUAAGGAGAUACCGUUUUGUCAGUUAAGCGACGGAGAUGAUGGAAUCUGUAAUGAUCACCACAAAAGAUUGGGCAAAGGCUAUAAUCAAUAACCUAAAAGAAGUAUUGAGCUGGCAAAAGAAGAAGAUCAGAAAUGGAGAAAAUUCAGAUGUCUACGUGUAGGGAAGCUUCAUACAAUGAUAUUAAUUAUUGUAGCUACGAACGUGUAAACAUUAAAAAUAAAAUUUUGUGUUUAUCAACAAACCCCCUAAGUGAUAUUUU
This is a long non-coding RNA of Vespa mandarinia (Asian giant hornet), 2780 nucleotides long. NCBI's taxonomy places the organism in Eukaryota, Metazoa, Arthropoda, Insecta, Hymenoptera, Vespidae. The record is from RefSeq and is a predicted model, not a curated record.